ACUCCUACGGGAGGCAGCAGUGGGGAAUAUUGGACAAUGGGCGCAAGCCUGAUCCAGCCAUGCCGCGUGAGUGAUGAAGGCCCUAGGGUUGUAAAGCUCUUUCACCGGUGAAGAUAAUGACGGUAACCGGAGAAGAAGCCCCGGCUAACUUCGUGCCAGCAGCCGCGGUAAUACGAAGGGGGCUAGCGUUGUUCGGAUUUACUGGGCGUAAAGCGCACGUAGGCGGACUAUUAAGUCAGGGGUGAAAUCCCGGGGCUCAACCCCGGAACUGCCUUUGAUACUGGUAGUCUUGAGUUCGAGAGAGGUGAGUGGAAUUCCGAGUGUAGAGGUGAAAUUCGUAGAUAUUCGGAGGAACACCAGUGGCGAAGGCGGCUCACUGGCUCGAUACUGACGCUGAGGUGCGAAAGCGUGGGGAGCAAACAGGAUUAGAUACCCGGGUAGUCCCAU
Molecule: ribosomal RNA, 447 nt
Filed under: uncultured organism
Description: partial 16S ribosomal RNA
Rfam family: Bacterial small subunit ribosomal RNA
Source: RNAcentral